UCAGCUCCUCUUCUCUGACAUCUACUCUGAGAUGCCCAGGCACAUCCAGAAGCAGCGGGAAUCCCUGGAACGUCACCUCAAGCAAUACGGCGAACACUACCCCCUGGACCACUACGAGAAAUGACCUGCUGCCCCGGAGUAGGUCCUCGCUCCGCCCUCCCUGACCACCCAGGACUUGCAGCAAAGACUUGGCCCCGGCCCAUUUGUGCAGAACGAGUGACUUCCCGGGUUUGCAGUCGCUGCCGUGUCACUAAGGUGACGAUGUGCAAAGGAAAGAUUGGUUGUGAGAAGGAGCCCGCUUCUGCUCGGAGCCGGGGCCUUGGGAUCCCUCUGGCUUUUCGUAGCCCGCCAUGAAUGGCUCUUGAGGAGUUUCCAAAAACUCCUUUAAUUUGCACAGAGCCCAUGUAAAGCACAGGAGCCCUUCACAUCUCUUCCACCGUGAAUGGGAGUUGCCUUAUCUCUGCUGCUUUCUUUACGGGCGCUCCAGUACUGCCUCUUCCUCCAUUCCAGGUUCAGCUCAAAAUUGGGCCUUCAGGAACGGUUUCCUUCCAUGGAGGAGUUUGUUUGGAGCAGAAAGCCUUUUUGCCAAUAUUAUUAUGGGCCUCGGAGACUGAAAACCUGGGGAACGCGCUUGCUUUGCGGGAUGUCUUACCUUGCUUCGAAGGUCAAGGUGUGAUGGCUGAGUGGGAGGCCACGGCUUGUUUUCCCUAGGAAAUGUCCAGCCCUGCGCUGGGCAAUAUGCUGUCAAACAGACCUGCAAAAUGUUGCCUUGCAGGAAAGUGUGUCUCAAGCUGGAACUCUUCUUCAGCCAACUCCUCCCACGGGGAUGUGUCUCCAAGGGUUUAACUGGGAUCUGGGGGCUUUUAGCAGCUGGAAAGACCUCUGGAGUAAUAUGUGAGCUGGCUUGGGCAGGGAAAGGGAUUGAUAGUGGGGGAACAUGGGGAAUGUAUUCACUGGGCUUUUGGCAGAGCUCUUGGUGAUGGAGGGGUGUGAUUUCCUGCAGCUUUCCGUGGUGGAGGGGCUGAGCUCUUUUGGUCUGUUACACGUCCUCAUUACUGUUACAACUCGAUGGGAUGCGUAUGCCGAAUCCGUGGCGAGUAUCCGGUGAGUGUUUGUCACUAGGCCAAAUUGGGAAAUUAAUAAAGAAAGAAAUGGA
Molecule: long non-coding RNA, 1156 nt
Organism: Varanus komodoensis (Komodo dragon)
Lineage: Eukaryota; Metazoa; Chordata; Lepidosauria; Squamata; Varanidae
Exons: 2
Source: RefSeq, a predicted model, not a curated record